This 484-nucleotide ribosomal RNA is filed under the name uncultured bacterium. Its description in RNAcentral is "partial 16S ribosomal RNA". The stretch from base 58 to 484 matches the Rfam family "Bacterial small subunit ribosomal RNA", at positions 39 to 507 of the family's 1533-position model. The record is from RNAcentral.
GGGGGGGGGGGGGGGGGGGGGGGGCGGGGGCGGGGCGGGGGGGGGGGGGGGGGGUGGGCGGGGGGGGGGCGGCGGACGGGGGGGGGAUGGCUAGGAAUCUGCCUGGGGGUGGGGGAUAAGGGCCGGAAAGGGGGGCUAAUACCGCCUACGGCCGGAGGGGGAAAGGGGGGGAGCUUCGGACCUCACGCGAUCAGAGGAGCCUAGGUCGGGUUAGCUAGUUGGUGGGGUAAAGGCCUACCAAGGCGACGAUCCGUAACUGGUCUGAGAGGAUGAUCAGUCACACUGGAACUGAGACACGGUCCAGACUCCUACGGGAGGCAGCAGUGGGGAAUAUUGGACAAUGGGCGAAAGCCUGAUCCAGCCAUGCCGCGUGUGUGAAGAAGGUCUUCGGAUUGUAAAGCACUUUAAGUUGGGAGGAAGGGCAGUAAGUUAAUACCUUGCUGUUUUGACGUUACCAACAGAAUAAGCACCGGCUAACUUCGUG